This 429-nucleotide ribosomal RNA is filed under the name Chloroflexota bacterium. RNAcentral's name for it is "Chloroflexi bacterium partial 16S ribosomal RNA". It matches the Rfam family "Bacterial small subunit ribosomal RNA", at positions 355 to 776 of the family's 1533-position model. The record is from RNAcentral. RNAcentral also lists the same sequence under 1 other name. Lineage: Bacteria; Bacillati; Chloroflexota.
UAGGGAAUCUUCGGCAAUGGACGAAAGUCUGACCGAGCAACGCCGCGUGAGUGAAGAAGGUUUUCGGAUCGUAAAACUCUGUUGUUAGAGAAGAACAAGGACGUUAGUAACUGAACGUCCCCUGACGGUAUCUAACCAGAAAGCCACGGCUAACUACGUGCCAGCAGCCGCGGUAAUACGUAGGUGGCAAGCGUUGUCCGGAUUUAUUGGGCGUAAAGCGAGCGCAGGCGGUUUCUUAAGUCUGAUGUGAAAGCCCCCGGCUCAACCGGGGAGGGUCAUUGGAAACUGGGAGACUUGAGUGCAGAAGAGGAGAGUGGAAUUCCAUGUGUAGCGGUGAAAUGCGUAGAUAUAUGGAGGAACACCAGUGGCGAAGGCGGCUCUCUGGUCUGUAUCUGACGCUGAGGCUCGAAAGCGUGGGGAGCAAACAGG